RNAcentral lists this ribosomal RNA (3312 nucleotides) under Drosophila melanogaster (fruit fly). RNAcentral's name for it is "eukaryotic LSU rRNA". The stretch from base 574 to 3312 matches the Rfam family "Eukaryotic large subunit ribosomal RNA", at positions 1 to 2374 of the family's 3401-position model. The record is from RNAcentral. Lineage: Eukaryota; Metazoa; Arthropoda; Insecta; Diptera; Drosophilidae.
ACUCUAAAGCGGUGGAUCACUCGGCUCAUGGGUCGAUGAAGAACGCAGCAACUGUGCGUCAUCGUGUGAACUGCAGGACACAUGAACAUCGACAUUUUGAACGCAUAUCGCAGUCCAUGCUGUUAUGUACUUUAAUUAAUUUUAUAGUGCUGCUUGGACUACAUAUGGUUGAGGGUUGUUAAGACUAUGCUAAUUAAGUUGCUUAUAAAUUUUUAUAAGCAUAUGGUAUAUUAUUGGAUAAAUAUAAUAAUUUUUAUUCAUAAUAUUAAAAAAUAAAUGAAAAACAUUAUCUCACAUUUGAAUGUGAAAAACGAAGAGAAAUAUUUUCUUUUUCAAUCAAAUAAUACUGAGAAAUGUCUAGCAUAAAAAAUUGAAAUAUUUUUCAUCUAGAAUUGUCUCUUAUUAAUGAUUCGGAAAUAGAAAAAUCUUGGUUAUGUUAUUAUUCUUCGUUGGUUCGUUAAAAAUGGAUAAAUAAAAACUUUGCAUACAAGAAUUAAUAAAAAUGUUAUAACGAAUUUAAUUAAAUGUUUUAUCAUUAUAUAUAAAGAAUUUAUGGCAAGAUAAAGUUAUAUACAACCUCAACUCAUAUGGGACUACCCCCUGAAUUUAAGCAUAUUAAUUAGGGGAGGAAAAGAAACUAACAAGGAUUUUCUUAGUAGCGGCGAGCGAAAAGAAAACAGUUCAGCACUAAGUCACUUUGUCUAUAUGGCAAAUGUGAGAUGCAGUGUAUGGAGCGUCAAUAUUCUAGUAUGAGAAAUUAACGAUUUAAGUCCUUCUUAAAUGAGGCCAUUUACCCAUAGAGGGUGCCAGGCCCGUAUAACGUUAAUGAUUACUAGAUGAUGUUUCCAAAGAGUCGUGUUGCUUGAUAGUGCAGCACUAAGUGGGUGGUAAACUCCAUCUAAAACUAAAUAUAACCAUGAGACCGAUAGUAAACAAGUACCGUGAGGGAAAGUUGAAAAGAACUCUGAAUAGAGAGUUAAACAGUACGUGAAACUGCUUAGAGGUUAAGCCCGAUGAACCUGAAUAUCCGUUAUGGAAAAUUCAUCAUUAAAAUUGUAAUAUUUAAAUAAUAUUAUGAGAAUAGUGUGCAUUUUUUCCAUAUAAGGACAUUGUAAUCUAUUAGCAUAUACCAAAUUUAUCAUAAAAUAUAACUUAUAGUUUAUUCCAAUUAAAUUGCUUGCAUUUUAACACAGAAUAAAUGUUAUUAAUUUGAUAAAGUGCUGAUAGAUUUAUAUGAUUACAGUGCGUUAAUUUUUCGGAAUUAUAUAAUGGCAUAAUUAUCAUUGAUUUUUGUGUUUAUUAUAUGCACUUGUAUGAUUAACAAUGCGAAAGAUUCAGGAUACCUUCGGGACCCGUCUUGAAACACGGACCAAGGAGUCUAACAUAUGUGCAAGUUAUUGGGAUAUAAACCUAAUAGCGUAAUUAACUUGACUAAUAAUGGGAUUAGUUUUUUAGCUAUUUAUAGCUAAUUAACACAAUCCCGGGGCGUUCUAUAUAGUUAUGUAUAAUGUAUAUUUAUAUUAUUUAUGCCUCUAACUGGAACGUACCUUGAGCAUAUAUGCUGUGACCCGAAAGAUGGUGAACUAUACUUGAUCAGGUUGAAGUCAGGGGAAACCCUGAUGGAAGACCGAACAGUUCUGACGUGCAAAUCGAUUGUCAGAAUUGAGUAUAGGGGCGAAAGACCAAUCGAACCAUCUAGUAGCUGGUUCCUUCCGAAGUUUCCCUCAGGAUAGCUGGUGCAUUUUAAUAUUAUAUAAAAUAAUCUUAUCUGGUAAAGCGAAUGAUUAGAGGCCUUAGGGUCGAAACGAUCUUAACCUAUUCUCAAACUUUAAAUGGGUAAGAACCUUAACUUUCUUGAUAUGAAGUUCAAGGUUAUGAUAUAAUGUGCCCAGUGGGCCACUUUUGGUAAGCAGAACUGGCGCUGUGGGAUGAACCAAACGUAAUGUUACGGUGCCCAAAUUAACAACUCAUGCAGAUACCAUGAAAGGCGUUGGUUGCUUAAAACAGCAGGACGGUGAUCAUGGAAGUCGAAAUCCGCUAAGGAGUGUGUAACAACUCACCUGCCGAAGCAACUAGCCCUUAAAAUGGAUGGCGCUUAAGUUGUAUACCUAUACAUUACCGCUAAAGUAGAUGAUUUAUAUUACUUGUGAUAUAAAUUUUGAAACUUUUAGUGAGUAGGAAGGUACAAUGGUAUGCGUAGAAGUGUUUGGCGUAAGCCUGCAUGGAGCUGCCAUUGGUACAGAUCUUGGUGGUAGUAGCAAAUAAUCGAAUGAGACCUUGGAGGACUGAAGUGGAGAAGGGUUUCGUGUGAACAGUGGUUGAUCACGAGUUAGUCGGUCCUAAGUUCAAGGCGAAAGCCGAAAAUUUUCAAGUAAAACAAAAAUGCCUAACUAUAUAAACAAAGCGAAUUAUAAUACACUUGAAUAAUUUUGAACGAAAGGGAAUACGGUUCCAAUUCCGUAAACCUGUUGAGUAUCCGUUUGUUAUUAAAUAUGGGCCUCGUGCUCAUCCUGGCAACAGGAACGACCAUAAAGAAGCCGUCGAGAGAUAUCGGAAGAGUUUUCUUUUCUGUUUUAUAGCCGUACUACCAUGGAAGUCUUUCGCAGAGAGAUAUGGUAGAUGGGCUAGAAGAGCAUGACAUAUACUGUUGUGUCGAUAUUUUCUCCUCGGACCUUGAAAAUUUAUGGUGGGGACACGCAAACUUCUCAACAGGCCGUACCAAUAUCCGCAGCUGGUCUCCAAGGUGAAGAGUCUCUAGUCGAUAGAAUAAUGUAGGUAAGGGAAGUCGGCAAAUUAGAUCCGUAACUUCGGGAUAAGGAUUGGCUCUGAAGAUUGAGAUAGUCGGGCUUGAUUGGGAAACAAUAACAUGGUUUAUGUGCUCGUUCUGGGUAAAUAGAGUUUCUAGCAUUUAUGUUAGUUACUUGUUCCCCGGAUAGUUUAGUUACGUAGCCAAUUGUGGAACUUUCUUGCUAAAAUUUUUAAGAAUACUAUUUGGGUUAAACCAAUUAGUUCUUAUUAAUUAUAACGAUUAUCAAUUAACAAUCAAUUCAGAACUGGCACGGACUUGGGGAAUCCGACUGUCUAAUUAAAACAAAGCAUUGUGAUGGCCCUAGCGGGUGUUGACACAAUGUGAUUUCUGCCCAGUGCUCUGAAUGUCAAAGUGAAGAAAUUCAAGUAAGCGCGGGUCAACGGCGGGAGUAACUAUGACUCUCUUAAGGUAGCCAAAUGCCUCGUCAUCUAAUUAGUGACGCGCAUGAAUGGAUUAACGAGAUUCCGCUGUUGCUUGUCGUAAGAGACGACUAAUACAGCGAU